Molecule: ribosomal RNA, 495 nt
Filed under: uncultured bacterium
Lineage: Bacteria
Description: partial 16S ribosomal RNA
Rfam family: Bacterial small subunit ribosomal RNA
Source: RNAcentral
GACGAACGCUGGCGGCGUGCCUAAUACAUGCAAGUCGAACGCUGAAGGAGGAGCUUGCUCGUCUGGAUGAGUGGCGAACGGGUGAGUAACGCGUAGGUAACCUGCCUGGUAGCGGGGGAUAACUAUUGGAAACGAUAGCUAAUACCGCAUAACAGUAGAUGCUGCAUGACAUUUGCUGGAAAGGUGCAAUUGCAUCACUACCAGAUGGACCUGCGUUGUAUUAGCGAGUGGGAGGGGUAACGGCUCACCAAGGCGACGAUACAUAUCCGACCUGCGAGGGGGGUCAGCCACACUGGGACUGAGACACGGCCCAGACGCCUACGGGAGGCAGCAGUAGGGAAUCUGCGGCAAUGGGCGGAAGUCUGACCGAGCAACGCCGCGUGAGUGUAGAAGGUUUUCGGGUCGUAAAUCUCUGUUGUCAGAGAAGAACGAGUGUGAGAGUGGAAAGUUCACACUGUGACGGUAUCUUACCAGAAAGGGACGGCUAACUACGUG